Molecule: long non-coding RNA, 1201 nt
Filed under: Homo sapiens (human)
Lineage: Eukaryota; Metazoa; Chordata; Mammalia; Primates; Hominidae
Description: HSALNT0336001
Source: RNAcentral
CAGCCUUGUUCACACUGUUUCCAUUUCUGUUGAGGUCAUCUCUGUUCUGAGCCAAAACUGCUCUUUCAACACUUUUUUUUUUUUUUUUUUUUUGAGACAGAGUCUCACUCUGUCGCUCAGGCUGGAGUGCAGUGGUGCGAUCUCGGCUCACUGCAACCUUUGCUGUCCGGGUUCAAGCAAUUCUCCUGCCUCGGCCUCCUGAGUAGCUGGGAUUACAGGUGCCUGCCUCCGUGCCCAGGGGAAGCUGGCCACAUUGUAAGAAGUCGGACUAUGCUGAGACUGUCAUGAUGACAGAAAACCCAAGCUAGCCAGGUGGAGAGAUCACACAGAAAGAGAUGCCUGGCCAGCUGUUACCUGAUAUGCCAUCAUGUAAGUAAAAAGUCCACCUUGGAUGGUCCAGCUCAUAGAUGCCAUGUACAGCAGAGGUGAGCCAUUCCUGCCAAGCCCUGCCCAAUUGCAGAAUUGUGAGUAAAUAAAUAAUUACUAUUGUUUUAAGCCACUAUAUUUUGGGAUGAGUUGUUACAUAGCCAUUGAAAACCAAAACACCUCUCUCCACCAAGUCAUUUCCAUCACUUCCUUCAAGACGGAGGCCAAGUCACCUACAUUGGAAACGUACCUGACAAGCUCAAUACAGCUCAUCUUAUUUUAGAAUUUGGUAGUUUGGAUUAUGCAGUUCUAUGCCUGCUUUUGGUCAGUUUCAUACAUUUACCUAUCCCUAAAAUUAAUAAUGACAAUGGCCAAUGCUGAGCAUCAUGGAUCAGGCACUGUGGCUGGGAAUAAUGUUAUUCCUAUUUUACAGAUGAGGAAACUGCGGCACUGAGCGGUUAAGCACCCUAUCCAAAGGUGGUUCUGUAUAAGUACCCUUCCCAAUGUCCUUGUCCCUCUAUUGCUUUGGUGAUAUGCACUUUGAACUUGAAGUGCUAAAAAGGAAGCUGAUGUGGAGACAACAGAAUGGCAUCUGUUUUGCAGGCAAGAAGAUAAAGGAAGGACAGAGGUUAAACUAAGAGAUGCAGAAAUUAUAGUAUAUCAGCCAGGUGUGGUGGCUCAUGCCUGUAAACCCAGCCCUUUGGGAAGCCGAUGCGGGCGGAUCACGAGAUAUUAAUCCAAGGAACAAUACUGACGAAUUUCACGGACAAAAUACUAAGAAGGAAAUCAAGUGAAUCAAGCGGAGAAGAAAGACAGUGGAAAAAGAAAACUGAAA